CGAGGAGAUUCCUUCCUGAUACAGGGCUGAAACCUGCCUCUCUGAAACGUCCGCCUGUGUGUCACAGAGCUUGGGCAAUAUGUUUGUAACCUUCAAAGAUGCCAAAGAAGAAUGGGGUGACACGACAUUCACUUGUCUAUCUAUAGCUCACCAGUUCUAUGACUUUAGGCAGGGAGAAGUCAAAAUCCACAUUUGUACAGGCUAAGCCACAACUAGGCAAUAUACAGUUGUGCCAAAGUCUCCAAAUCCACAGGUCUCAGGUUUCCACUCUUUCAAGGUAAAGUCUUCUUCCAAUCCCUGGGAAUUAUAUCAUAGGUGAUCAAAACUUUGAAAGUUUCUGAGUUUGAGAACUAGGAAAUAGCUUCCAAGAGGGAGCAGAAUUCUUCAAGAAUGAAGACAGUUGUCAUUGCAGCCCUUAUAACUGGAGGACUAGAGCCACAUUAUGAGGUCCAGGAGAUCUGGAACUUGCCAACCCCGACUACUACCAUGGGCUGCUUAGACAAUGUGGUUCAGAUCAAUUGUGAGAGAAGAUUGUUUUUUUCUCCAAAGUAUACUCACUUUCUAGGAGGGUUGCAUGGGUUGUUUGAACACUUCAUAUUUCUGUAUCUAUUCGUGGGUUCCUAUGAAUCUUUUGCAUCUUAUGCACCUU
Vombatus ursinus (common wombat) is the source of this 649-nucleotide long non-coding RNA. RefSeq lists it as uncharacterized. The record is from RefSeq and is a predicted model, not a curated record. NCBI's taxonomy places the organism in Eukaryota, Metazoa, Chordata, Mammalia, Diprotodontia, Vombatidae. The transcript is spliced from 3 exons.